UGGCGGACGGGUGAGUAAUGUCUGGGAAACUGCCCGAUGGAGGGGGAUAACUACUGGAAACGGUAGCUAAUACCGCAUAACGUCGCAAGACCAAAGAGGGGGACCUUCGGGCCUCUUGCCAUCGGAUGUGCCCAGAUGGGAUUAGCUAGUAGGUGGGGUAACGGCUCACCUAGGCGACGAUCCCUAGCUGAUCUGAGAGGAUGACCAGCCACACUGGAACUGAGACACGGUCCAG
Molecule: ribosomal RNA, 235 nt
Filed under: uncultured bacterium
Lineage: Bacteria
Description: partial 16S ribosomal RNA
Rfam family: Bacterial small subunit ribosomal RNA
Source: RNAcentral